AUUGAACGCUGGCGGCAUGCUUUACACAUGCAAGUCGAACGGUAACAGGGAGCUUGCUCCGCUGACGAGUGGCGAACGGGUGAGUAAUGCAUCGGAACGUACCGUGUAAUGGGGGGAUAACGUAGCGAAAGUUACGCUAAUACCGCAUACGCCCUGAGGGGGAAAGUGGGGGACCGGAAGGCCUCACGUUAUACGAGCGGCCGAUGUCGGAUUAGCUAGUUGGUGGGGUAAAGGCUCACCUAGGCGACGAUCCGUAGCUGGU
This 262-nucleotide ribosomal RNA is filed under the name uncultured bacterium. RNAcentral's name for it is "partial 16S ribosomal RNA". It matches the Rfam family "Bacterial small subunit ribosomal RNA", at positions 30 to 291 of the family's 1533-position model. The record is from RNAcentral.